AGUGAACGCUGGCGGUAGGCCUAACACAUGCAAGUCGAACGGCAGCACAGUAAGAGCUUGCUCUUACGGGUGGCGAGUGGCGGACGGGUGAGGAAUACAUCGGAAUCUACUUUUUCGUGGGGGAUAACGUAGGGAAACUUACGCUAAUACCGCAUACGACCUACGGGUGAAAGCAGGGGAUCUUCGGACCUUGCGCGAUUGAAUGAGCCGAUGUCGGAUUAGCUAGUUGGCGGGGUAAAGGCCCACCAAGGCGACGAUCCGUAGCUGGUCUGAGAGGAUGAUCAGCCACACUGGAACUGAGACACGGUCCAGACUCCUACGGGAGGCAGCAGUGGGGAAUAUUGGACAAUGGGCGCAAGCCUGACCCAGCCAUACCGCGUGGGUGAAGAAGGCCUUCGGGUUGUAAAGCCCUUUUGUUGGGAAAGAAAAGCAGCAGGUUAAUACCCCGCUGUUCUGACGGUACCCAAAGAAUAAGCACCGGCUAACUUCGCG
This 492-nucleotide ribosomal RNA is filed under the name uncultured bacterium. RNAcentral describes it as "partial 16S ribosomal RNA". It matches the Rfam family "Bacterial small subunit ribosomal RNA", at positions 29 to 507 of the family's 1533-position model. The record is from RNAcentral.